AGGACGAACGCUGGCGGCGUGCUUAACACAUGCAAGUCGAACGAGAUCCAUUCAGUAGCAAUACUGAUGAAGAUCUAGUGGCGAACGGGUGCGUAACACGUGAGGAACUUGUCCCGGUCUCUGGGAUAACAGUUGGAAACGACUGCUAAUACCGGAUGACGUCGGAACUUCGCAUGGAGUACUGACGAAAGGGUUACUGGAUCGGGAGAGCCUCGCGGCCUAUCAGCUUGUUGGUGGGGUAAUGGCCUACCAAGGCAUCGACGGGUAGCUGGUCUGAGAGGAUGAUCAGCCACACUGGGACUGAGACACGGCCCAGACUCCUACGGGAGGCAGCAGUGGGGAAUCUUGCACAAUGGGCGAAAGCCUGAUGCAGCAACGCCGCGUGCGGGAAGAAGGCCCUCGGGUUGUAAACCGCUUUCAGGAGGAACGAAACUGACGGUACUUUCAGAAGAAGGUGCGGCCAACUACGUGCCAGCAGCCGCGGUAAUCUA
Molecule: ribosomal RNA, 491 nt
Filed under: uncultured bacterium
Lineage: Bacteria
Description: SSU rRNA
Rfam family: Bacterial small subunit ribosomal RNA
Source: RNAcentral